This 74-nucleotide small nucleolar RNA is filed under the name Otolemur garnettii (small-eared galago). RNAcentral's name for it is "Small nucleolar RNA U3". The stretch from base 1 to 38 matches the Rfam family "Small nucleolar RNA U3", at positions 1 to 41 of the family's 219-position model. Rfam says of the family: Small nucleolar RNAs (snoRNAs) are involved in the processing and modification of rRNA in the nucleolus. There are two main classes of snoRNAs: the box C/D class, and the box H/ACA class. The record is from Rfam by way of RNAcentral. Lineage: Eukaryota; Metazoa; Chordata; Mammalia; Primates; Galagidae.
AGGACUAUACUUUCAGGGUCAUUUCUGUAGUUUGUUCUCCACUUAUGAAGGCAAUAAUUUUGUUUUUAAAAGGU